AGAAUCAACGCUGGCGGCGUGCCUCAGACAUGCAAGUCGAACGCGAAAGUCCCCUUCGGGGGGCAAGUAGAGUGGCGCACGGGUGAGUAACACGUAGGUAAUCUACCUUCGGAUGGGGAAUAACAAUCGGAAACGGUUGCUAAUACCGCAUAAUGCAGCGGCACCUAAUGGUGACAGUUGUUAAAGCGGGGGAUCGAAAGACCUCGCGUCUGAAGAGGAGCCUGCGGCGGAUUAGCUAGUUGGUAAGGUAACGGCUUACCAAGGCGACGAUCC
Molecule: ribosomal RNA, 273 nt
Filed under: uncultured soil bacterium
Lineage: Bacteria
Description: partial 16S ribosomal RNA
Rfam family: Bacterial small subunit ribosomal RNA
Source: RNAcentral